Long non-coding RNA from Mesocricetus auratus (golden hamster), 1494 nucleotides. RefSeq lists it as uncharacterized. The record is from RefSeq and is a predicted model, not a curated record. NCBI's taxonomy places the organism in Eukaryota, Metazoa, Chordata, Mammalia, Rodentia, Cricetidae. The transcript is spliced from 3 exons.
CCAACUAAAAGAUGGAGGCGGAAGGUAUGGAUGACUGUCAGAAAUGCAUCCCAGUCUCUGUGUGAAGAGCCUUGGCACGUGCUGGGCCCUCCUUAAGACUCUGGGGCACCUUCCAGGUCCUAGUGCACAUGUUGACGAUGGCCAGAGACAUCCCUCACUCCACCAGAAACCCCAAACAGGCUUGCUUCCUGUUCCCAGACUGACAUCUGCUGGGGACCACAGGCUGGCGGGCUUGGGAGGCAGGCCCGCAGCCGGCUGCCACUCGGCUCCCUGGGGCUCCUCAGAGCCUCCUAGAAGCCUGCGCUGCUGGGGGCCGGAGUUUGACAACCUCCAAGGGAGCCCCACUUUCUCCUGAGCUUCUAGCGGUGGAGUUAAGGCUCAGAAUGACACCGUCUUGGCACAGGAUCCCCAGCAGAUCACUGGUGUGCUGGCAAAUGAUUAAUGACCAACUUGAGAAUUAAAUCUGGGCCUUGAUUAAUAGUGUUGCAACUUCCAUGAUGGAAACCCAAAAGUCAUUCCAGUUUGAGAGUCCCCUCAGGCCUGCAGAGGACUUGGUUAUUUUGUCAGUCACAGCUCUGACGUCCUAACAAGCAGGGGUGAGCCAGAGGGCUCCUCUCCACGACAGACUCAAUGAACUCACGUGCAAAACUCUACCUUGCCAGACAGUAACGAGGCAGCUCAAGACCCUGUGCUCUCAUGUGCCAACCCAUCAGCUUCUUGACUCAUCACAAUAGUUCUGCGAUCAGUGUUUGUUCUUUUGAGAAACACUUUCCCUGCAUACAACAGACUGGCCCUGCGUGCCCAUGGUCACAGCCCCGCCCCCCCAGUGAUGGGAUUACUGGUGUGCACUGCCAAGUACUUAGGUUCUUCUCAGUGACCAUACUCAUGCCAACAUGAUUGAUAAAAGGAAUGUAGAGAAGACAGAGUCCCUGUGCUGAGUUGGCUAUGCUCUGUGAUGGCCCCACAUAAUUCCUGUGUGCUGGUGUUGACACCUCUCCUCUGUGGAGGGCUAUGUAUCCAAUGAGGUAGCUGGAAAAACAACACUGUGUGACUUCGAAGCCUGCAUGAAAGACAGUACAACUUUUGCUUUGUUCUUUCUUGGGCUCUCAAAGGCGAUCUGGAUGAGUGUCACACUUUCCUGAAUGACUCCUGGAGCAGGGCUAUGGAGUCCAGGUGGCAAGAAACCAAGAGUCUCAAUUGGCUUCUGUGAGGAUGGCCCCACCCCCACCCCAGAAGGGAGCCUGCAGCUCAGCCAAGCCCAUCCAUGGCUGCAGCACAGUCAUGCUGGAGCUUCUGGCUCAGAGAAACCGCUAGAUGAUGUUGUUUUAAGAUGCUAAAUUUGGGGGGUAAUUUGUUACGCCACAUGAUAUAAUUAAUGCAAAACCUAAUCUGUAGGAGCAUUUUAACUUAAAAGGGAAGAAAAGAUGAAAAUGAAUAAAGAGAAAUAUGUGAAACCAACCAGUAUGUGGAUAAUUAUGUACUGAUUGUUACAGA